AUGGACAAGCCAUCUAUUUAUCUAACACAGCUACUGACAUGCUAUUUACAGUGGCAUAGUGCUGAAAGUCCCCCUGGCCGCACAUACUGUCUGCAGAAGGGAGAGCUGCGGACAUUCCCUGCCCGACGUAACAUGUGGGGUAUCUUCCGAUGCGUCUCUCUUACUGCAAAGCCAUGCUUUUUCAUUACAUUUGGCCCAUUCUGCUAUAAAGUGUGCCCUCUGCAAAAUAGCACCUCAGCUUUCACAGCCCCAAUGCCGCUCCCUCUAAAAAUCAAUGGCAAAACUCCCACUGAUUUCAGCAUGCACACACCAAUCCUGUUCUACCGUACAAUAACUCUUCUAGCCAAAUCCUAACUGCGUGUGUGGAUACGUAGGAGAGCUCAUUCUGUAACAGCUUAAACUGUAGCCGUAUCAUUUUAUGCACAGUAUAAAGCAUAAUAUUCAAAGCAAAAUAAUCAGAUUUAUAGCUGAUCUAUAGAAAUACACACAUGCACUCCUUUAGCAUGCCUGCUUUGAGCAAUGAGCCCAGUUCACCUGGAUCGUUAGGGUUCAGAGGGGCUCUUAGUCAUUAUUAAUUAGAAUUGUGUCCUUGUUUCCUGUAGAGCCGGAAAUGAGAACCUCCAGCAACCUCUGUCCACCUUCACAGGACGUCUUGCCCUUCCACUGUGGCUGUCUCCUCUGAUUCCAUCUCCAUAUCAGACACAGUUGCUGGUCCCAACAUUAGCAGCCGGAAGGCUAGUAAGGGAGUCAGGGAUUUCAGAAGUCUGGAAGAUGAUCUAUCCCUCGCCUCCACUCCAAUGCUUCUAGGAAACUUACUCCACUAUCUGCCACCCAGUCAUAUGUCCUUCCGCUAGCCAUCCCCUUUCCUACCACUAAGCCCCCAGUUAAUUGUUCCUCUCCAGUUAUGAACUGCUACAAUGUCCUUCACCAUCCUCCAAAACCAUCCCAAGUUCCUUAUCAUCAUCAAGAACAAUUCCCCCCCCCCCCGCAAGGAAAGUUACACAUCUUCUU
RNAcentral lists this long non-coding RNA (1011 nucleotides) under Chrysemys picta bellii (western painted turtle). RNAcentral describes it as "lncRNA (ENSCPBG00000026875.1)". The record is from RNAcentral. Lineage: Eukaryota; Metazoa; Chordata; Testudines; Emydidae.